CUAGCGUUAGCCGCUAGCAUUAGCCGCAUGCGCUAGUAUAAUGAGCUGCACGUGUUGGUAUUGUUAGCUGCUAUCGUUAACCGCAGGUGCUUGUACACUGCUAUAGUCAGUUAGUUACAGGUCCUUGUAUCAGACUUGUCUAUUGUGGCAGCUUUGUAGCUGCACUUCUGUUGUUAGCUGGGUGUUCAUAGCUGCUUGCUGUAUUUAGGACAUCAUGUUGGUCAAGGUGAGAUAUGGUGAAAGUCAGAAGUAUGUUAAAGUGGCUGAGACUGAAGAAGGCUAUGACGACUUCAAUACAUUUCUUCAGAAAGUCUUAGAAAAGUUAGGUCUACCACUACAGACUGAGCUGCACUUGACAGAUGAAUCAGGGACAGAGGUGGAUGCGGACGUGUUUGAUGAGCUUU
Molecule: long non-coding RNA, 404 nt
Organism: Hippoglossus stenolepis (Pacific halibut)
Lineage: Eukaryota; Metazoa; Chordata; Actinopteri; Pleuronectiformes; Pleuronectidae
Exons: 3
Source: RefSeq, a predicted model, not a curated record